RNAcentral lists this ribosomal RNA (391 nucleotides) under Clostridioides difficile. RNAcentral describes it as "bacterial LSU rRNA". It matches the Rfam family "Bacterial large subunit ribosomal RNA", at positions 1821 to 2211 of the family's 2925-position model. Lineage: Bacteria; Bacillati; Bacillota; Clostridia; Peptostreptococcales; Peptostreptococcaceae. The record is from RNAcentral.
UUCUGCUAAGUCGCAAGACGAUGUAUAGGAGCUGACGCCUGCCCGGUGCUGGAAGGUGAAGGGGAUCGGUUCGGGCAAGCGAAGCAGUGAACUUAAGCCCCAGUAAACGGCGGCCGUAACUAUAACGGUCCUAAGGUAGCGAAAUUCCUUGUCGGGUAAGUGCCGACCCGCACGAAAGGCGUAACGAUUUGGGCACUGUCUCAACAACAGACUCGGUGAAAUUGUAAUUCCGGUGAAGAUGCCGGAUACCUGCGACAGGACGGAAAGACCCCAUGGAGCUUUACUGUAGCUUGACAUUGGGUCUUGGUACUACAUGUACAGGAUAGGUGGGAGGCUUUGAAACCAGGACGCCAGUUUUGGCGGAGCCAUCCUUGGGAUACCACCCUUGUAG